This 471-nucleotide ribosomal RNA is filed under the name uncultured bacterium. RNAcentral's name for it is "partial 16S ribosomal RNA". It matches the Rfam family "Bacterial small subunit ribosomal RNA", at positions 29 to 507 of the family's 1533-position model. The record is from RNAcentral.
ACGCACGCUGGCGGCGUGCUUCACACAUGCAAGUCGCACGCUGAAGCUUGGUGCUUGCACUGGGUGGAUGAGUGGCGAACGGGUGAGUAAUACGUGAGUAACCUGCCCUUGACUCUGGGAUAAGCCUGGGAAACUGGGUCCAAUACUGGAUACGACAUGUCACCGCAUGGUGGUGUGUGGAAAGGGUUUUACUGGUUUUGGAUGGGCUCACGGCCUAUCAGCUUGUUGGUGGGGUAAUGGCUCACCAAGGCGACGACGGGUAGCCGGCCUGAGAGGGUGACCGGCCACACUGGGACUGAGACACGGCCCAGACUCCUACGGGAGGCAGCAGUGGGGAAUAUUGCACAAUGGGCGGAAGCCUGAUGCAGCGACGCCGCGUGAGGGAUGACGGCCUUCGGGUUGUAAACCUCUUUCAGCACGGAAGAAGCGAAAGUGACGGUACGUGCAGAAGAAGCGCCGGCUAACUACGUG